AAAAGUUAAGGUUUGGUCAAAAAUAAUAAACCUAAAAGAAAAUGGAAAUUUUAGGGCAUUUUGUGUUAAAUGCCUAAUUUUGCCGAAAUGGGGAAUUUUAUUCCAUGAAUGGACCUUAGGUUAAAUUUUAUUAUGUGAUUAAUUAAAUUAAAUGUGAGAGACAUUUAAUUUAAUUAAUUAAUGUUAAGUUUGGUGAUUAAAACUUAAUAAGAGUGAAAAAAGGUGUCAAAAGUCAAUUUGGACUUUUCUUCUUAUAAACCUUUAUUAACCUUUAUAAAAAAUAAAAAAUAAAUAAAAAAAAUUAAUGGUCACAUAUAUGGAAAAGGGUGGCUGGCCAUGUGCUAUUUUAGAGUGGUGUGAACCCAAUUUUAUAAAAUUCAAAUCCCAUUUAAUUAAGAAGUCAAGUGGGCAAGUGGGUAGAAAAGCACUCAAGUGUUUUGUGAUAUUUUAAAGAGUUGUGUGAGCCAUUCUAACCCCCAAAUCCGACCACUCUCCCUCCCUCAUUCACUCUCAUCUGAUUUUUGAAGACUCUCUCAAGUGUUCUCUCCAUUUUGAACCCCAAGAACACCAAAGAAACUUGGAAGCUAAGUCUUGGUCUAGGAAGGGUUUUCCCUAAGUUGGUUAGGGUUUUUGAAAGGUUUUGAAGGAGUCAAAGCUUAUAGGAAGGUCCAAACCUUAAGCAAGAACACCAAAGAGGUAAGAACAAGGGCAAGGCAGAGCAGUGAGCGCUGGAGUCUUCCUUGCAAAUGUACAUGUGGACCGACCUUUUGGGAAGCCUUUUUAUUUUUGGAAAUGUUGUGUAAUUUUCCUAAACUAGGCUCACUCUAAUCUUUAUAAAACAUGUUUGUAACUAAAUGUUAAGUAUGGCCAUACGACUUUUUAAAAAGUUUUUUUUUCUAUGGGUUUUUGAGACAUUUUGUUAAAUGAAAACAUUUAUA
Molecule: long non-coding RNA, 938 nt
Organism: Humulus lupulus (European hop)
Lineage: Eukaryota; Viridiplantae; Streptophyta; Magnoliopsida; Rosales; Cannabaceae
Exons: 3
Source: RefSeq, a predicted model, not a curated record